This is a long non-coding RNA of Anthonomus grandis grandis, 457 nucleotides long. RefSeq lists it as uncharacterized. The record is from RefSeq and is a predicted model, not a curated record. NCBI's taxonomy places the organism in Eukaryota, Metazoa, Arthropoda, Insecta, Coleoptera, Curculionidae. The transcript has 3 exons.
AUAAACAUUUAUCUGGUGCAAGUAAAAGGAAAAAGAAAGCCGAGCUUGAAGAGCAAACUCUAGAACAUCCAAAAAUUUACAAAGCAGUUCAAAGAAAUUAAAAUCAAUGGUGAAAAUAUUCCUGAACCUGAAAUUGAACUUAAGGCAAAUACCGAAAUUUUCGACCUAACUGAAUGCUCAACUAAUAAAGAUGAACUCGAAUCAGAGAUACUUAUCACUGAUGAACCAGAUAUUAAUGUAAAUUUUCCUACGGACAAAGCUAAUUUUUGCGAAGCUUUAUCAAUCCAAGAGAAAAUAUUUAUUAUUGAUAACGAACCUUGUCAUCCACGAGGACCAUUUCCCAAAGAUGCAAAUAAUAGAAGUUUUUCCUCAUUUUAUUAUUCAGAAAUAUCUAAAUCUGGCAUUAAAACAAAAAGAUGGUGGCUAUGUUAUUCACUGAAACUAAAUAAAUGUUAUU